GAUGAACGCUGGCGGCGUGCCUAAUACAUGCAAGUCGAGCGAACGGACGAGAAGCUUGCUUCUCUGAUGUUAGCGGCGGACGGGUGAGUAACACGUGGAUAACCUACCUAUAAGACUGGGAUAACUUCGGGAAACCGGAGCUAAUACCGGAUAAUAUUUUGAACCACAUGGUUCAAAAGUGAAAGACGGUCUUGCUGUCACUUAUAGAUGGAUCCGCGCUGCAUUAGCUAGUUGGUAAGGUAACGGCUUACCAAGGCAACGAUGCAUAGCCGACCUGAGAGGGUGGUCGGCCACACGGGAGCUGGACCACGGACCAGACUCCUACGGGAGGCAGCAGUAGGGAAUCUUCCGCAAUGGGCGAAAGCCUGACGGAGCAACGCCGCGUGAGUGAUGAAGGUCUUCGGAUCGUAAAACUCUGUUAUUAGGGAAGAACAUAUGUGUAAGUAACUGUGCACAUCUUGACGGUACCUAAUCAGAAAGCCACGGCUAACUACGUG
RNAcentral lists this ribosomal RNA (497 nucleotides) under uncultured bacterium. Its description in RNAcentral is "partial 16S ribosomal RNA". It matches the Rfam family "Bacterial small subunit ribosomal RNA", at positions 28 to 507 of the family's 1533-position model. The record is from RNAcentral.